Molecule: transfer RNA, 73 nt
Filed under: Aromobates aff. alboguttatus JCS-2011
Lineage: Eukaryota; Metazoa; Chordata; Amphibia; Anura; Aromobatidae
Description: tRNA-Asn
Rfam family: tRNA
About the family: Transfer RNA (tRNA) molecules are approximately 80 nucleotides in length. Their secondary structure includes four short double-helical elements and three loops (D, anti-codon, and T loops).
Source: RNAcentral
UAGAAUAAAGCUCGCUGGAUAGAGUGUUUAGCUGUUAAUUAAAGUUUUACGGGAUCGAGGCCCGUUAUUCUAG